GACGAACGCUGGCGGCGUGCUUAACACAUGCAAGUCGAACGGAAAGGCCCUGCUUUUGUGGGGUGCUCGAGUGGCGAACGGGUGAGUAACACGUGAGUAACCUGCCCUUGACUUUGGGAUAACUUCAGGAAACUGGGGCUAAUACCGGAUAGGAGCUCCUGCUGCAUGGUGGGGGUUGGAAAGUUUCGGCGGUUGGGGAUGGACUCGCGGCUUAUCAGCUUGUUGGUGGGGUAGUGGCUUACCAAGGCUUUGACGGGUAGCCGGCCUGAGAGGGUGACCGGCCAAAUUGGGGCGGAGAUACGGCCCGGACUCCUACGGGGGGCAGGGGGGGGGAAUGUUGAACAAGGGGCGGAAGCCGGAUGCGGCAACGCCGGGGGCGGGAUGACGGCCUUCGGGUUGGAAACCGAUUUCGCCUGUGACGAAGGGUGGGGAGGGGAAAUGGGAAAAAAAGCCCCGGCAAACUACGG
This 467-nucleotide ribosomal RNA is filed under the name uncultured bacterium. RNAcentral describes it as "partial 16S ribosomal RNA". It matches the Rfam family "Bacterial small subunit ribosomal RNA", at positions 28 to 506 of the family's 1533-position model. The record is from RNAcentral.